RNAcentral lists this ribosomal RNA (459 nucleotides) under uncultured bacterium. Its description in RNAcentral is "bacterial SSU rRNA". It matches the Rfam family "Bacterial small subunit ribosomal RNA", at positions 917 to 1382 of the family's 1533-position model. The record is from RNAcentral.
GCACCCGCACAAGCGGUGGAGCAUGCCGUUUAAUUCGACUCUACGCGAAAAACCUUACCUAGACUUGACAUCCCUUGCAAAAUCCUGGAAACAGGAUGGAGGUUACCAAGGUGACAGGUGGUGCAUGGUUGUCGUCAGCUCGUGUCGUGAGAUGUUCGGUUAAGUCCGCUAACGAGCGCAACCCUUGUCUUAAGUUGCUAACAUUUAGUUGAGAACUCUUAAGAGACUGCCGGUAAUAAACCGGAGGAAGGUGGGGAUGACGUCAAAUCAUCAUGCCCCUUACGUCUAGGGCAACAGGCGUGCUACAAUGGCUGAUACAAAGAGACGCAAUACCGUGAGGUGGAGCAAAUCUUCAAAGUCAGUCUCAGUUCGGAUUGGAGUCUGCAACUCGACUCCAUGAAGUUGAAAUCGCUAGUAAUCCUGAAUCAGAAUGUCAGGGUGAAUACGUUCCCGGGUGUU